ACUUAUACCAUACAAUAGGAUUGUACCCGUGACGUGACCCGUGCACCCUCUUCACCUUAAGUUUUAAUAUCAACCACCAUUUUCCCUUCUUUCUCUUUUUGCAGUAGUCUCUUGCCUCGCCUUCUUCGUCGUCACGGAAUCAGACCUUGAGCCGCCACAUUUUCUUUCCGGUGGCUUCAGCUGCCACGGCCAUCGCCGCGCAUAUAGGAUCCUAAAUUUUCUCUCUUUUUUGAAACUGUCGACGCCGUUACCGCCCUUAAAAUGCCACAUCUCCUUCUCCGAAAACCUGCCGCAAGGCCACCGCGUCGUGGCUGACCGCCUUUGCAAAAACCAACAUAGGCUCGCCGCCGGAUAAUUACACAUCGGCGCUGAACAAGUCCUUAUGUUCUUCAAUGCUUAGCGUUGUGAGUAUACAUAUUUUUUGAAACGUUAAUUUCUGGUAAAUUUAGGUUUUAUGUUUUGUGGAUCUGAUGAAUUUCUUUAGAAACUUAUGAGUAUGAGAUUGGGAAUUGGGGUUGAAUACUCUGAUGCAUUUUUCAUAUAUCUGAAGAUGGGUAGAUUUGAUUUGUGUAGAAAGAGGUGAGUAUUAAGAAUAUGACUCCUAAUCUUAAUGUCAUUGUUUGAUGAUAUUUUGUUUUAUUUAAACUUUGAGUUGUCAAUUAUUGUGAACAGAUGUGCUCCAUAUUUAGUUCUCAAUGACUCCACAUUUUUUGUUUUCAAUUCACAUUUAAUCCCAUUAUUGAAAUCUUUUAUUUGAGAUUGUUAUAUUUUUAUUACAUUAUUAUUGUACAUUUAACGUACUUUUUAAUUUUUAAUAUGUAAGGUAUCGGGUUCUUGAGUUCUUGAUGCAUACAAGCUCUGAAUAAUGAGUCAUCAACAAAAGGAUUUGUGAAAUUAGAGAUCUCUAGUGAAGUCAUUGAAACUUCUUUGGUAAUGAUAAUUUUUUUUAAUUUAUAUUUUUCAAGGUAUGAUUCAUGUUAGUAUUUUAAUAUUUUUUUUAUCAAUUUUAUGAAAUUAGAUGAAUAAUCUAGCUAGAUGAAAACAACACAAACAAUCAUCUGGGUGAUGCAAGAUUUAAAAAAAAAAUUCUGGGUGAUGCCUUUUGUAGAGGCUAAAAUCUACAAUUGAGGAUGACAUCUGCACGUCCGUAUAGAUUGGGCACUAGCAACCUAUCAACGCAAGAAUACGUAAGAGCCCUAGGUUGAGCACCGGGAGGGGGUGUCAACCGUAGAGCCUCCGACGUUCAAGUCAGUAACGGAAUAGCAAAAUAGAAUGACAAAUGAAUUGAAAUAAGAAAGAAAGACAGGUUGGAAUGUUUAGUUAUUCCAAGGUGUCAGUAGCGUGGGAGGGUGGGAACGGUGACGGCGAAUUGUGAUAAUGGAAGGUGGGAGGCAGAGAUAGGCCAAGUUGGCUAUCUCCGAUUUUGAAGAGCGAUCAGCGUGGUGGCAGAAUAGAGAGAAUUCAAGAAGUAGAUAGCAAGUAGGAUUUUCUGUGUCACCCUUUAUACCCUAGUCUGGAUGUUUAUAUAGAGGACAUCCAGCCGCUAAGGUUUCUACAGUCUGGCCUCGUCAUUGCCCUUAUCUCCCAGGUUGUUGCGAUUUGGACGGGAUCAUAAAGAUUUUUCCUCUAACUGUAGUUUGGUGGGAGAUAUCUUUUAGGGUCUGACGGCUGGGAGACGUCUUCUAAGGUUUGACGGCUAGGUCUUGUAAUUCGUCAAUCUAGGUUGACAAUACUCCUUGGGCCGCAUGCGGUAUAUGCAGCUUGGUUAUGGAUUCAAGUCGAUCCAUAGCUUUCCGGGCUAGAUGGGUCAAUCUGUUUGAUUAAUUGGGCCUUUUAGGGUCAUGCUAGAUUGGGGAGUUAGCUGCGCGGGCUAGCUUGAUGGGCCAGGCUGAGUGUGAAUUAUUCAGCCUGGCUCAGACAAGCUGGUCUUGAAGUGAAGUAUUCACCCUGAGUUAGUUCGGAUAUGUCUUAAUAAAUAUAAUUUGACUUAUCGGGUUGGGCGAACAAGUUUUCUUGAGUAAUUGGAUUAUCAUCGUUAUCGACCCAAGUUGGUCUGAAGCUUCUCGAACUGGAUGGACCGGAUUGCUUGACUCAUUGAAUCAUCUUGGAUUGUUAAUUGGUCUCGAGCCAGGUUGACGGAUUUUGCCCACUAUAGUUAGCCCCCCACUCUACAAUUAGAAUUUUUUAAUUGGAGAGUUAAUUUGUUAUAGCUAUUCCGUAUAUGUUUUCAAUGAUAUCAAUGUGCCAAUCCGCCAUAUCAUCCUAACAAUAGGAAUCAUCUGAACUUCUCAUAUGCGAAUCCGAACAAUGCCUUGCAG
RNAcentral lists this long non-coding RNA (2318 nucleotides) under Salvia miltiorrhiza (redroot sage). RNAcentral's name for it is "long non-coding RNA (SMIL_LNC008590)". The record is from RNAcentral. Lineage: Eukaryota; Viridiplantae; Streptophyta; Magnoliopsida; Lamiales; Lamiaceae.